Molecule: transfer RNA, 69 nt
Filed under: Candidatus Egerieousia excrementavium
Lineage: Bacteria; Pseudomonadati; Bacteroidota; Bacteroidia; Bacteroidales
Also listed under: 5 other names
Rfam family: tRNA
About the family: Transfer RNA (tRNA) molecules are approximately 80 nucleotides in length. Their secondary structure includes four short double-helical elements and three loops (D, anti-codon, and T loops).
Source: RNAcentral
CGGAAGUAGCUCAGUCGGUAGAGCAUCAGCCUUCCAAGCUGAGGGUCGCGGGUUCGAACCUCGUCUUCC